Molecule: ribosomal RNA, 515 nt
Filed under: Phaeobacter sp. MED165
Lineage: Bacteria; Pseudomonadati; Pseudomonadota; Alphaproteobacteria; Rhodobacterales; Roseobacteraceae
Description: bacterial SSU rRNA
Rfam family: Bacterial small subunit ribosomal RNA
Source: RNAcentral
AUGGGCGCAAGCCUGAUCCAGCCAUGCCGCGUGAGUGAUGAAGGCCUUAGGGUCGUAAAGCUCUUUCGCCAGAGAUGAUAAUGACAGUAUCUGGUAAAGAAACCCCGGCUAACUCCGUGCCAGCAGCCGCGGUAAUACGGAGGGGGUUAGCGUUGUUCGGAAUUACUGGGCGUAAAGCGCACGUAGGCGGAUCAGAAAGUAUAGGGUGAAAUCCCAGGGCUCAACCCUGGAACUGCCUUAUAAACUCCUGGUCUUGAGUUCGAGAGAGGUGAGUGGAAUUCCGAGUGUAGAGGUGAAAUUCGUAGAUAUUCGGAGGAACACCAGUGGCGAAGGCGGCUCACUGGCUCGAUACUGACGCUGAGGUGCGAAAGUGUGGGGAGCAAACAGGAUUAGAUACCCUGGUAGUCCACACCGUAAACGAUGAAUGCCAGACGUCAGCAAGCAUGCUUGUUGGUGUCACACCUAACGGAUUAAGCAUUCCGCCUGGGGAGUACGGUCGCAAGAUUAAAACUCAA